UCUGGUUGAUCCUGCCAGUAGUCAUAUGCUUGUCUCAAAGAUUAAGCCAUGCAUGUCUAAGUAUAAAUGGUAUACAGUGAAACUGCGAAUGGCUCAUUAAAACAGUUAUAGUUUAUUUGAUAAUUGACAAUUACAUGGAUAACCGUGGUAAUUCUAGAGCUAAUACAUGCUUAAACGCCCGACUUUAUGGAAGGGUGGUAUUUAUUAGACUGAAGCCAAUAUUCCUUGUGUCUAUUGCGGUGAUUCAUAAUAACUGAUCGAAUCUCUUUUUGAGAUAAAUCAUUCAAGUUUCUGCCCUAUCAGCUUUCGAUGGUAGUGUAUUGGACUACCAUGGCAGUAACGGGUAACGAAGAAUUAGGGUUCGAUUUCGGAGAGGGAGCAUGAGAAACGGCUACCACAUCUAAGGAAGGCAGCAGGCGCGUAAAUUACCCAAUCCUGACUCAGGGAGGUAGUGACAAGAAAUAGCAAACCGGGAACCUCAUGGUUUCACGGUAUUGCAAUGAGAACAAUUUAAAACCCUUAGCGAGAAUCAAGUGGAGGACAAGUCUGGUGCCAGCACCCGCGGUAAUUCCAGCUCCACUAGCGUAUAUUAAAGUUGUUGCAGUUAAAAAGCUCGUAGUUGAACCUCUGUCUGGGGCUAGUUUUGGCUUCGGUCAGGCUAGCUCUAGGCAUCCGCCUACAAGACUUAGAGGGCAUUCAGUUGUUCACUAGGAGGAGUAGGCAUUUUACUUUGAAAAAAUUAGAGUGUUUAAGGCAGGCAAUCGCCCGCAUAUAUUAGCAUGGAAUAAUAGAAUAGGACACUUUUCCAUUUCGUUGGUUAUUGGAAUCGUGUAAUGAUUAAUAGGGACAGUUGUGGGCAUUUGUAUUUAAUUGUCAGAGGUGAAAUUCUUGGAUUUAUUAAAGACAAACUAACGCGAAAGCAUUUGCCAAGGAUGUUUUCAUUAAUCAAGAACGAAAGUUAGGGGAUCAAAGACGAUCAGAUACCGUCCUAGUCUUGACUAUAAACUAUUCCGACUCAAUGUUUGACUGGCUUAUAUAACCAGUUGAGCGUUGUAUGAGAAAUCAAAGUCUUUAGGUUCUGGGGGGAGUAUGGUUGCAAAGCUGAAACUUAAAGGAAUUGACGGAAGAGCACAACCAGGAGUGGAUUCUGCGGCUUAAUUUGACUCAACACGGGGAAACUUACCAGGUUAAAACAAUAGUGGGAUUGACAGUUUGAGAGCGCUUUCUUGAUUGGUUGGGUGGUGGUGCAUGGCCGUUCUUAGUUGGUGGAGUGAUUUGUCUGCUUAAUUGCGUUAACGAACGAGACCUUAACCUGCUUACUAGAC
RNAcentral lists this ribosomal RNA (1325 nucleotides) under metagenome. Its description in RNAcentral is "SSU rRNA". It matches the Rfam family "Eukaryotic small subunit ribosomal RNA", at positions 1 to 1360 of the family's 1831-position model. The record is from RNAcentral.